UGGGGGAUAUUGCACAAUGGGCGAAAGCCUGAUGCAGCAACGCCGCGUGAGGGAAGACGGUUUUCGGAUUGUAAACCUCUGUCUUCGGUGAAGAAAAAAAUGACGGUAGCCGAGGAGGAAGCCACGGCUAACUACGUGCCAGCAGCCGCGGUAAUACGUAGGUGGCGAGCGUUGUCCGGAAUUACUGGGUGUAAAGGGAGCGCAGGCGGGGAGACAAGUCAGCUGUGAAAACUAUGGGCUUAACCCAUAAACUGCAGUUGAAACUGUUUUUCUUGAGUGGAGUAGAGGUAGGCGGAAUUCCGAGUGUAGCGGUGAAAUGCGUAGAUAUUCGGAGGAACACCAGUGGCGAAGGCGGCCUACUGGGCUCUAACUGACGCUGAGGCUCGAAAGUGUGGGGAGCAAACA
Molecule: ribosomal RNA, 405 nt
Filed under: uncultured prokaryote
Description: bacterial SSU rRNA
Rfam family: Bacterial small subunit ribosomal RNA
Source: RNAcentral